Molecule: ribosomal RNA, 468 nt
Filed under: uncultured bacterium
Lineage: Bacteria
Description: partial 16S ribosomal RNA
Rfam family: Bacterial small subunit ribosomal RNA
Source: RNAcentral
GACGAACGCUGGCGGCGUGCUUAACACAUGCAAGUCGAACGGAAAGGCCCUGCUUUUGUGGGGUGCUCGAGUGGCGAACGGGUGAGUAACACGUGAGUAACCUGCCCUUGACUUUGGGAUAACUUCAGGAAACUGGGGCUAAUACCGGAUAGGAGCUCCUGCUGCAUGGUGGGGGUUGGAAAGUUUCGGCGGUUGGGGAUGGACUCGCGGCUUAUCAGCUUGUUGGUGGGGUAGUGGCUUACCAAGGCUUUGACGGGUAGCCGGCCUGAGAGGGUGACCGGCCACAUUGGGACUGAGAGACGGCCCAGACUCCUACGGGAGGCAGCAGGGGGGAAUAUUGCACAAUGGGCGGAAGCCAGAUGCAGCAACGCCGCGUGCGGGAUGACGGCCUUCGGGUUGUAAACCGCUUUCGCCUGUGACGAAGCGUGAGUGACGGUAAUGGGUAAAGAAGCACCGGCUAACUACGUG